This 492-nucleotide ribosomal RNA is filed under the name uncultured bacterium. RNAcentral's name for it is "partial 16S ribosomal RNA". It matches the Rfam family "Bacterial small subunit ribosomal RNA", at positions 29 to 507 of the family's 1533-position model. The record is from RNAcentral.
AGUGAACGCUGGCGGUAGGCCUAACACAUGCAAGUCGAACGGCAGCACAGUAAGAGCUUGCUCUUACGGGUGGCGAGUGGCGGACGGGUGAGGAAUACAUCGGAAUCUACUUUUUCGUGGGGGAUAACGUAGGGAAACUUACGCUAAUACCGCAUACGACCUACGGGUGAAAGCAGGGGAUCUUCGGACCUUGCGCGAUUGAAUGAGCCGAUGUCGGUUUAGCUAGUUGGCGGGGUAAAGGCCCACCAAGGCGACGAUCCGUAGCUGGUGUGGGAGACUGGUCAGCCACAUUGGAACUGGAACACGGACCAGGCUCCUACGGGAGGCACCAGUGUGGAAUAGUGGACAAUGGGGGCAAGCCUGACCCAGUCAGACCGCGUGUGUGAAGAAGGCCCUCGGGUCGUAAAGCCCUUUUGUGGGGAAUGAAAAGCAGCAGGUUAAUACCACGCUGUUCUGACGGUACCCAAAGAAUAAGCACCGGCUAACUUCGUG